UGCCCCAUGGCUGAGUUGGUUACAGCGUCCGACUGUUAGCUAGCCUGAUUAUCGGAAGGUCGUGAGUUCGAGCCUCACUGGGGCAG
This is a non-coding RNA of Phlegmacium glaucopus, 86 nucleotides long. Lineage: Eukaryota; Fungi; Basidiomycota; Agaricomycetes; Agaricales; Cortinariaceae. The record is from the annotation of a GenBank genome assembly.